UUUCCAUAUGAGAUGGGAAAGAGGAGGACGGCGAAGGAGAUCGCGUUGGAGGAGUACGGUUCAUUCCAAGCGAAGCCCGACGACGGCCACAACCUCACCGCUGAUCUGCUCAAUCAGAUAGUAGCUAUGCACGGCUUCUGCAGGAUCCAUCAGCCUAAGUUAUGUCGUUCCUUCGUUAGUCGUCACCAUGGCAGAGAUUAUGGAGGCGUUCCGAUCGAUGACACUGUCACUCUGGCGAGCCUGUUCAGCUUCCUGCUUUUAUGCCUCCAAACGGACGCCGAUCGAGAAGGGGUAAUCUUCGGUUCAACGGAGCUCGUUUCAUGGAAAAGCCUGACCACCCGGCCUCCUCUUUCUAGCAGAAAAAGUGCUUACAGUAAACACUUUUCAGGCAACGUUCGGUGUUCUUCGAGACCCUCUUCUAUGCGAGAAAUUAAGCUGUGGCUGCUCAGGUAAGUAAGUCGGCUUACAAAUUUCAGGAAUUGAAUCCAUUUACUGUACUAGAUUCAGGAACAUUAACAAGCAUAGGAACAUUGGAAAAUAUAGGCAACGCACUUAUGCUGCUAGUCUGCAACAAAAUAUCCCCUUCACCCUGCUCUAGUCUUAAAAUGGCCUGGGGAAGAGGGAGCAGCAAGUGCUCCAAGUGGUUCGUUAGAUAAUCCGCUCACCUGACUAUUCACCCAACAAGUCAUGGGCGAACAAAUGUAGGGUUGAAUCCUCGGACCAUUCCUGAGGAUGGAAGGGCGUUUUGCUCGGAGGCCGGCCGGAGGAGGGAUUCAUACUUGCGCCACCAUUUUUAGUACACACCCCAUCUAAUCCUUUCAGCUACAAGUUUCGGCAGAAAAGGACAAUUUGCAUGCAAUGGGUAAAUUUCCUCAAUUAUUUUGUUAGUAAUAAUUAAACACAAAUAAAUUGCUGCUACAGUUUAAAAAGUUAUCCCUGAAACAUAGGGAGAAAAAGAAUGGCUAACGUAAACGACAAAUCGUUAGCUAAACAAAAAUAAAUUGCUGCUGCACUUUAAAAAGUUAUCUGUAAAACGCAGGGAGAAAAAAAAUGACUAACAUAAACGACAGAUAGUCAGCCUGUUGCUGGAGGACACUGGUGGCAAGGCCGGGCCUAUAAAUGUAACUUUCUCAAUAAAUGCAAUAUUUUGAACAUAAAAAUCACACCCAUGAAGUAGACUAUUGGAAAUAAAAGUGAAAAAUGUUAUAAGGAAAGGAUGUAGACUAGCACCUGAAUGCAAUAUGUAUGUAUAUGUCCGAACUUGUUAUCAAAGAAUCAAGAGAGUCGUUUAAGGGGGGGUUGGGAGAGAGAGAGAGAGAGAGAGAGAGAGAGAUCUAGAGCGAGACCGGAGAGGAAGAAGGAAGGAGAUAGAGAAAAAUGGGGUUCAGACGCCACGCUUAGCACAGUAGGGCUAAGCAGUUCUGGCAUUCACCAGCCACAUUGGGAGAAACAGAGCUGACAGGUUGAAGAAGAACCUGCACAUAAAUGUUGUUGUCUUUGCCAAGAUGAAGGGGAAGAAUGUGAAUUCCUGAAAUAUAAUGAUCUCAAGCUUGCCAGGAACUGAACUUUCCUGUCCUUUUAUGUCUGUUACAGUCAUGACCAUAUUUGAAGCGAAACUGAUCAUAUUGUUAUGACUGUUGUCUCUUUUAGCACCACUAACAGAGGAGAUGAAAGUUCACAGACAGAUAUUAAGAAUCGUUUGUGUGGGUAGCAAUGUCUUUGUUGGCAAUUCCUUAAUCAGUAUGUAAAUACUCCAUGGAUGCAUAUCAGAAUGAAAACAAUUCUUCAAUUGUGAAGAUGGUUCAGGACGACAUUAUGUCAUGAAAGGCUUUGAUUUUAGGCCUGCUUGGCCUAUGUGGAUAUUCAAGAAAAGCUGUGGAAACUGCCAACAGAGUGCUGGCCAUGGGGUCGGUCAGCAAAUAAUAUCGAAUUCUUUGCAAUACUGAGAUCUUGGAAGCAAAAGGU
RNA transcript from Nymphaea colorata (pocket water lily), 1965 nucleotides. RefSeq lists it as uncharacterized. The transcript has 5 exons. NCBI's taxonomy places the organism in Eukaryota, Viridiplantae, Streptophyta, Magnoliopsida, Nymphaeales, Nymphaeaceae. The record is from RefSeq and is a predicted model, not a curated record.